RNAcentral lists this ribosomal RNA (253 nucleotides) under uncultured bacterium. Its description in RNAcentral is "partial 16S ribosomal RNA". It matches the Rfam family "Bacterial small subunit ribosomal RNA", at positions 524 to 776 of the family's 1533-position model. The record is from RNAcentral.
UACAGAGGUGGCAAGCGUUGUUCGGAAUUACUGGGCGUAAAGGGCGAGUAGGCGGCUUUUUAAGUCAGACGUGAAAUCCCCCGGCUUAACCUGGGAACUGCGUCUGAUACUGGAAGGCUUGAGUAUGGGAGAGGAAUGUGGAAUUCCAGGUGUAGCGGUGAAAUGCGUAGAUAUCUGGAGGAACACCGGUGGCGAAGGCGGCAUCCUGGACCGGCAUUGACGCUGAGGAGCGAAAGCCAGGGGAGCAAACGGG